UUUUCUUUAGACCUAAAGUACAUGAAUGAGACACAAUCAGUUGAUCAUAACAAACACCUCAAGUUUUCGACUGUCAGCUGUAUUUCUUAUAUGGACAAGGUUUCUCCAUUGGUUUAUUUGGUAGUGCUUUACUUCCAUAUGAUGGUUCAGUUAACAUUAAAGUCCCAGCAAUCAGACCGCAUUUCACAAGGGAUGUUUGAAUAUUUUAAAUUAAUUUUUCUUUAAGUGAUCCCCUGGAUAAUCUCCUCACCUGUAUUGGUCUCUUGUACAAACAUGUUGAAUCAAUUUACUUAGAUAUGUGGAUAGCAGUGGCGCAAGGUCUGAAUUGCUGUGUCUCUUAGUGCAUGCUUUGGAUGUUCAACAUCCACCAAUUUCUCAGGGGGUCUGUACGAAUUGAUAAAUAGGUAGCUUGAUGAAAAUGUUGGCAUGUUAGAAAAUGGCAUUGUUUUCAAGUUGACAUGCAGUGAUAUAGAUCUUGAAACCAACAGAAGUAAAAUUUGAAUGUGAUAACAAAGUACUCAACAAUAUAAAGAACUGCCUAACAUUUGCUUCCGAGUAUAUUAAUUUGUUGAGGAUAACGAUGGUGACAAACCCACUGCCUGGUUUUGUUGGAACAACAAGACAUCUUCAUAUGCUACCACGACAUCUGGGCCUGAAGCUAUGUCAUGGACUGUUCAGAGCUCCACGGCAAAUGGAGUUUAUCCUAAUCCAACCUACCAGUAUGAUCAGCAUCCGCAGCCACCUGGAAGAAGCAUUCAAAAAGGUCAAAGUGUAUCAUCAGUUGCUGGUAACACAUCAAAUUUGGGAACAGCUAAUACACCACAAGAUUACAAUGCGUACACAUCAUGUGCAAACUCUUCUAAUCCAUAUGGCUAUGGCAGCAGUACGAGAUACUCAGGCUACUAUAACAGCUAUCAGCAGCAGCAACCUAAACACGCUUAUUCACAGCCUGUAGAAACAUUUUGAAAACAAUUCCUUCUGCUGGAAUAGUACCACACUUACGGUUGAGAAGUUCCAAGCUCACAUGACCUGCAAGAUAAACAACAACAAAUGUCAGCACAAUCCAUAUUCUAACCAUAACCUUCCAUGUUCCAUUUUGAUCCUUGAAUAAUCAAUGGUACAUGUUGCUUUAAAAUCCAACCUUGUUAUAAAAACCAUAAGACCUGUUUCACCUUACUCACUUCACUUCACCAAGCCUGCAUUAACAAUUCAGCAGUUAACAGUCAAUCAUGACAGCAUAACAGAUGGGCAAACCGCAUUUCAAUACCUGCAGUACAUACAACACGUUGCCAAGCCAGUUGCCUUGUUGUGCCUUGCUGCAAUGCCAGACCUGCACAAGCUCAAAGCCAGAAACAAGAACAAAUCAGCGCAUAAAUUAUGCAGGCUUAGUGCAAACACAUAUCCUAUCCAUCCACACCACGAGAUGUUCCUUUCAUGGGAAUGGCAACUGGAUCACCUGUUUAUAAUAGAAACUCAGGUCAGAACCCGCAUGAGCUUAGCAAUUUAUAUGGUAGAUCUGGUGGACAUGAUAAUGUGGUUAAGCCAUUGGCCUCAGAACCGGUAGAGUCCAGUCAUGCUCCUGAUACCGUUGGACCUUACAGUUUUCUUCUUAAGCAACACAACAAGUGGGAUGGAAAAAAUGAACCAACAAACUGGGAGGACUCAUUAACAACGAAUGCAUCAUUUGUCAAUGUGAGGGACCAACCGGCAAUGUCUGUCCAGGAGAAUGAUCAUAUUAGGAACAUGGAAAUGGAUUUAAGAAAGAAAAAGUGUUCGUGGCAAAGAAGUUUCUUCUCAAACAUCGGGAAAUCAAGGAUCUACUUUUACCAAAAAUGCCAAAUCACCUGAAAGCACAGGAAGCUUUAAUAACUUUGAUCAUAUUGCAGCAAGGAAAAUGGAUGGUGUAGCUUCUAAUACACUGGAAUCUUCCUCAAGGUUACCUGCUACAGAAAUUCACUGCAGUAAAAAACACAAGUUAAUUAGCCAAGGCAGUUAAUUCAAGAGAAAUUCCCAAAUUGGCCUGAAGUCAAAACGAAGAAGAAAGUACGAAUUCAGAAUACCAUUUUUGAAUUUAGCAUCAAAAGGGCCAAUCCCAACUGAGUACAUGAAAAGGAGUUUGAAGAUACACCUGUUUUGAUGCAGAAGCAAAUCCCAAACCCUAACUGCAGAACAUAAAUAGAGAACUCUGUGCCAUUCCUCGCUGCUCAAUCCGAGGUGACCCAGGACUGGGGAACCGUUGCUUUAGGAUGUCACUGUUGAGGGGAGUUCAGCCAGAGGUCUUUUAUCUCGUAAUAUGCCUCAAAACCUUCAGUGGCGUAAACAGAUUAUCUCACUGAAGGCCUGAAGCUGCAAACUUCUGUUCUCAGAACCUACUGAUGAGGCCGGAGUUUGAUUCUACAGAUACGGUUGUUGCCAGUGGUGCAGUCGUGUGGUGACUUUGGUUCAGCCAAAAGUUUAUGGACGUUUUCUGGCGACGUGCCGGAGUUCUGUCCGGCUGUUUAUCAGCGGCGUUUCCGUUUUUAUUCGACCCUGGGCUGAAUUGUGGUGGCCACUCAGAGGGUGACCAGUUCCAGACAUGGGUUCAGAUGCAGUUGAUCAAGAUUGACUUUGGGUUCCAGAUGGUUGUGACUCAGAGUUCAACCCGAAGCUUCGGAUCCCUGUGCCCGAGAUGCACAGCCUGCCAGUCUUUGCUCCAUCAUUUGCAUCAUAGCGAUGUUUUUCCAAAAAAAUAAUAAUCGAUGAAAAAAGUAACUCGCAUGUGGCAUAUCCUUUUCAGAUCAUUCAUGAUAAAUACAGCAUCCGCAUCAUAUGCAUAUCAUCGCACAUAUCAUCCUGCAUGCAGACAUGCUUGGGAGAGACUUCGCACUCUGGUUUUGACUGAGACGGAUGUGACUCAUCUCGUCCGCAUCGCACCAGAAUGAAUCACAGAGGAGUAUGAUCAACGUCCAAGAGGUAGUUGGCUGAGAUGAGGGCAAACAUGCCAUUCACUGACCUGAUGCAAGGAGUUGUUCAGGGGCAAGAGAGACGCGUGCCUAGCCAAAGACAGGACAGGCUGGUCAUGAGCAUGAAUGCAAGGGUUGUUCAAGGGCAAGAGGAUCUGCGUGCUUAGCCCAGAGACAGGAAAGCUGUGAUUCUGCAGCCGCAGUCGGCUUCACCAGAGGGGCUGUCCUUGUCAAUGAUCAAAUUACUGCUGCACUAUUCCUGUCAACAACUAUGCCUGUGGUGAAAGAUUGAGGAUAUAUAAAUCAGUGGACAGCCCUUGCUACGAGAGACUGUUAAUGGUCAGAGCAACCCUCUCCGGUUCGCGAUCCCUGGCUCUUCAAAUCCUCAAGUUCUAAAAAGCCAUCCCUGGCACCCGAAGGGAAGAGGUGAAACAAACGCUCGUGCACGCGUCGGAGGAGUGUGAACAAAGGAGACAGAUAUCGGCAAGUGCUCUGCUGUGACUAUCCAAGCCACUCAACACUCAACAACAAACAGAGAAGACCAACUCAGCAAUAAGCAUCAACAACAUCGUCCUCACAGCAGGCUUACCGGCCUCCCAAAUGGUAAUCAGCCCAGACGAGGUAAUGAGAGGAAGAAGAUCAUUUUUGAUCUGAUCCUAUGUCCUAUGCAGAGCUGUAUCCCUCUUGAUAAGAGCGGAACUGAUACUCCCAGAGACCCGCGCGGCUAUACCCGUGCAACCCUGGUGGUGGUAUAGCCUGAACAGCAUUGGUUAUCAUUCGGAGUGCUCCUGGCAUGAUGUGCAUAGUUGUUUCCAGCUGAAGAUGAAGUUCAAGACCAUGUGAGUCAGGGAUUCUGAGCUUUGAAGACUUAGGUCCCGGUGUUAAUCAAGCUGAAAACGGCAAGUCCCGGGUUGGCGAUGGUUGUUCGUUUGACGUCUCAACGAAAAGUUUGUUCAAACGCAGAAGUUGCUGAUGCAAAAGGAUACCGGCAGUUGUUAUCCCUGGUGGAUCUAUCACAAUGGGUCACUGUGGGUGUGCCUACAGUUGUUCAGAAGUCAGAGUAAUAUCACCACUUUUUUAAAAAAAAACCCUCCUCAUGCCAAAAGGAGAAAGGAACAUUGUUGGCAAUUCAUUUGUGCAAUGAUAUAUUCAUUCAAUAAAGCACUGUUAACAUCAUUUGUUUUCCAAUGUGUUUCCUUUUCGCUUUUACAUGAAAAUUGGUGGAUCAACAAAAAACCACAAAACAGGAAUAAAAACAAUUCUUUCAUCUGACAUAACGAUUGUCUUGUUUGAUUUCCCAAAAAGCUUUCCAAUAUCAAAAUCAUUAUGCAGGCUUAUUUCUUAAACCCAUUGAAGCCACUGAUUGAAUCGUCCAUUUCCCCGUCCCAAUCGUGAAUCCCUGAAUUUCGAAAUGCGGAAGAAGAUGAUCUGAAGAUUCCUUGACGAGAUUUCCUAUCUGACAAGAAAAGAAGAUCACUACAGCGUAUCUCGAGAAACAGAACAGCCAAUGGCAUGAAAAGAAAAAGAAAAAAAGAAAUCACAAAGAAAGAAUAGGUGCAAAAUCAAAAGAAAUUCAGAAUCAAAAGAAAGUAAGAAAAAAAAAAAGCACCCUCAUAAGCCCAAUUGACUUGAUCGAAUUCGAUCGAGAAAGAGAAUGAACUGCCAUGUCAUGGUCGAGUUUGCGCGGAGAGUGACGAAUGCACGCUAUAUGAAGAAGCGGUGUCGAACCCGUGCCUGCGCUUGUGUCCGGGGGACCUGGUCAAGAUCUUGUCUUCGCCCGUAUUCCCAGGGGGCAUAGCGAGACGUGUUAUACCCUAAGCUAGAAGGUAUAUGCAUGCUUCUACGGAAUUUAGAACCAUUUACGUCAUUGGCGAGCUUUGUGCUUCACUUACAUGCCCAUGAUAACGAUGAUUGUUGAAUGACCACUUGGGCUUCCCACUCCAAAGAGUCUUUGGUCGAAUGAACUAAUAUGUUCCAUUGCUCAAGAGCUUCAGCGUGUGACAUUAAAUGGAUAGAAGUUACUCGCUAUCCAUGCAAAGAAAUAUUAAGUCAAAAGCAAAGCUCGCUAAGUCUGAACACCCCAAAGGGCGACUUAGGCAAAAGACGUCUCGGUGGAUUGAAAACCCGAAAGGGCGAUCCAGCAAGUAGAGACAUUAAAAAAAGAAUUCCAAUCACGCGUCAUAGAUGAGCACACUCACACGGGGCCAAUCUCCGCAAACAUUGGAUUUGGACAAGAAUGCAUCUUUGACAAGACUGCGUCUGAUAUCUGUGCUCCGUCAGGCCUCGAUGCCGUGACGUAUCACGCUACCUGAAUUACAUCUGAACAAGUUGCGAAUGGUAGACGAAAGUCUAUUAUCGUUCAAUUAGCCCCUCCAUAUAUACCACCGAUUUCAAACUUGUACAGAUAUGGAGGUCCUCCUUGCAGACUACCCUUCCAUUAGCAUCUAUUGAGCUUUUCCAUUCAUUAUUUGUCAACUCCCAUCCUCUUUCCAGCUCAUACAAAUGUUCUUGCACGUUUUAACUGAUAAAGACAUUGUUUCAAAAUAACAAUUUUCAAAAAAAAGUUCCUAAACAAAGUGAACAUUCACAGAUAUGAAAGAUACUGUAGGAGACCAUACCGAGUGCCUCGUCCGGAAGCGUGGUAUGAAUUCCGAAACGGUAAUAACAAUGUUCGUACCUAGAGCAUGAUUGCAUCUUAUUUCCUGGCAGAACAUUUCCAUGGCUGUUCUUCUUCCAGCGAGGAUUGCCAUGCAUGUUGCUUUGAGUUGUUAUACUUCAUGUUACCGGAGUAACAAACAUCCUUGCCUCAAGUCCGUUAGCCGCACUGUGGGAUCUUACGAGAGGUUUUGAGCCCUCCGUGGCAUUCCCAGCAAGUGGCUGUUGGAACACUGUUAAUGGCAGUCCCAAGCAGUAUAUUGAAGACUUCAACUUCCUCUCUCCAGUAGAGCAGCUUAUACUCUCCCCGGCAUGGUGCUGUCUUGGGAAGACUCGUAUUUCGUGGAUUGGACAAUCCAGUAACUCCAUCAUGUUCCUCAGAUAGAUCCCCACGAGAGUUGUUGUGAUGAUGAGCUUUACCAUGGCCUAUCUAAAUCCUCAAUCAGAGAUCUGGUUGCUUAUGCAUCCUCUGCUCUCCAGCACGAGUGGUCAUGGCGCGUCCGCCGUGUAGCUGAACCGUGUUCUCCGGUUGUGACGACGAUCCCUCCGGAAAGCCUCGGUGCCUUCCUCCCCUGCAGGAGGUGUUGCUCCCUGAUAAUCCCAGCCCCAGUGGAUUUUCUCGGCUCUCGGGUAACUUUGGUUUUCCCUCCGGAAGAGUGGUACCGGAUGGUUGAUUCUCGACCUGUGUGUUGAGCACUUCUGUUUGCCACAUCAUUACAUACAUUUUUAGGUAUCAUGCAUACAUGCAUAAUCAUAGCAUUCAGAUACCAUGAUGCAGCGUGUGCCGUGUAUCUGUUGAUGGUUGUCUCCUGCUAUUUGUUGAUACAGAUCUCUCAGUAGAUCCCCCUAACAGAUUUAGAUCAGUGUCUCCUCAGCGAGCCUGAAGGUUACUGCCUCCCAGUAGGGUUUGUGUUGAUGGUUUCCCUCAGUGAGAUCCCUAAGCGGAUCGGGUUUGGAGAAAAUCACCCCAGUAGAGAUAAGAAUGGGUUGCCUCCCCUAGCAGGGUAAUCUCCAAGCAGUUCGGGUUCGAUGGAGUGCAUCCUCAGCAAGGUUUGUCUUUCCCCAGCAGGGUGGAAGUUGACGUGAUUAUAAGAUCCUCAGCACAGUUCCUGGAGUCCCGGUGUUGUCUCUGGAGGAGACGUGUGUUAUGCAUUCAUAUUUAGUAAGCAUAGCAUAUUGCAUCAUUAGUGCAUAGCAUUUCCAUGAUCAUGGGGCAUUGUGUAAAAAAAAAAAACUCAUGCAUCACAUUGCAAACAUAUCCAUUAGCCCAGGCCGUGGUGACCAGCCAGAUUGGGUUGUUGGAAAGAGUUUAGCAUCGCGCCAUUGGAUCGGUUUCAGAAUUGGUUCAUCAGCAUGGUUGAGAGGUUAGUGUUUUCCCAACAAGUGACUCCUUAGUUGAGUGGGUAUCCCAGCAGUGUUACUCCCGAAGUUGGCAGCAUCUUGCAAGCUUGGGUCAAUUCCCCUAGCAUUAUGUGGGCGUGUCUGAUCUCUUCAUAUAGAGUCGACCCUUAAGCAGAAAAUGUCCACCAUUUCCUUCUGCGCUCCCACCGAGAUACUUCCUCGUGGAUGACGUUUCUCGUUCCCCCCUAAUGGGAUGGGUUUUCCCUAUGAGUUCUUUCCUCAUUAGGAUAGAUCCUUGAUUCAUUGCCUUUUGGAUCGAUCCUAAAUUGGCUUCUUGUUCGCUAUCUCUUGUACUUCUCUGGGCAUAAAUGAAUGGUUGCUCACUAACCGGCACUCGUUCAUCUCAUCCUCAGCGGAAUUUUUGUCUUCUACCAACGAACCGGUAGUUGUAAGUCCUAUCUUUGGGUUUUCUACCUACAGCUGGUAUGUGUAAAAUCCCACUUUCACCCCUAGCAGAGGUAGCCUUUGUGUUCAUGCUGUUUGUGGCUUCUACCAACGAACUGGUAGUUUAAGUCCUAUCUUUGUGGUUUCUACCUACAAGCUGGUAGUUGUAAAAUCCCACUCACCCCCCUAGCAGAGGUAGCCUUUGUGGUUCAUGCUGUUUGUGGCUUCUACCAACGAACUGGUAGUUGUAAGUCCUAUCUUUGUGGUUUUCUACCUACAAGCUGGUAGUUGUAAAAUCCCACUUUCACCCCCUAGC
RNAcentral lists this long non-coding RNA (7698 nucleotides) under Lathyrus oleraceus (garden pea). Its description in RNAcentral is "Pisum sativum (pea) long non-coding RNA (PSAT_LNC019360)". Lineage: Eukaryota; Viridiplantae; Streptophyta; Magnoliopsida; Fabales; Fabaceae. The record is from RNAcentral.